UGUGGAUGAUGCAACUCUCUUCCCUGACUGAACAGGUGGAGGUUCCAAACUGAUUUAAUGAGGCUGACGC
Small nucleolar RNA from Polyodon spathula (Mississippi paddlefish), 70 nucleotides. The record is from RefSeq and is a predicted model, not a curated record. Lineage: Eukaryota; Metazoa; Chordata; Actinopteri; Acipenseriformes; Polyodontidae.